AUAACAAACAAAAAAAAUCCAGAAAACGCAUGUCAAAAAUGUUAUAAAAUUAUUUGCAUUUUAAUGAGGGAAAUAAGUAUUUGACCCCUCUGCAAAACAUGACUUAGUACUUGGUGGCAAAACCCUUGUUGGCAAUCACAGAGGUCAGACGUUUCUUGUAGUUGGCCACCAGGUUUGCACACACCUCAAGAGGGAUUUUGUCCCACUCCUCUUUGCAGAUCUUCUCCAAGUCAUUAAGGUUUCGAGGCUGACGUUUGGCAACUCAAACCUUCAGCUCCCUCCACAGAUUUUCUAUGGGAUUAAGGUCUGGAGACUGGCUAGGCCACUCCAGGACCUUAAUGUGCUUCUUCUUGAGCCACUCCUUUGUUGCCUUGGCCGUGUGUUUUGGGUCAUUGUCAUGCUGGAAUACCCAUCCACGACCCAUUUUCAAUGCCCUGGCUGAGGGAAGGAGGUUCUCACCCAAGAUUUGACGGUACAUGGCCCCGUCCAUCGUCCCUUUGAUGCGGUGAAGUUGUCCUGUCCCCUUAGCAGAAAAACACCCCCAAAGCAUAAUGUUUCCACCUCCAUGUUUGACAGUGGGGAUGGUGUUCUUCGGGUCAUAGGCAGCAUUCAUCCAUGGCGAGUUGAGUUGAUGCCAAAGAGCUCCAUUUUGGUCUCAUCUGACCACAACACUUUCACCAGUUGUCCUCUGAAUCAUUCAGAUGUUCAUUGGCAAACUUCAGACGGGUAUGUAUAUGUGCUUUCUUGAGCAGGGGGACCUUGCAGGAUUUCAGUCCUUCACGGCGUAGUGUGUUACCAAUUGUUUUCUUGGUGACUAUGGUCCCAGCUGCCUUGAGAUCAUUGACAAGAUCCUCCCCGUAUAGUUCUGGGCUGAUUCCUCGCCGUUCUCAUGAUCAUUGCAACUCCACGAGGUGAGAUCUUGCAUGGAGCCCCAGGCCGAGGGAGAUUGACAGUUCUUUUGUGUUUCUUCCAUUUGCGAAUAAUCUCACCAACUGUUGUCACCUUCUCACCAAGCUGCUUGGCGAUGGUCUUGUAGCCCAUUCCAGCCUUGUGUACGUCUACAAUCUUGUCCCUGACAUCCUUGGAGAGCUCUUUGGUCUUGGCCAUGGAGGAGAGUUUGGAAUCUGAUUGAUUGCUUCUGUGGACAGCUCGUUACCUGUAUAAAAGACACCUGGGAGCCAGAAAUCUUUCUGAUUGAGAGGGGGUCAAAUACUUAUUUCCCUCAUUAAAAUGCAAAUCAAUUUAUAACAUUUUUGACAUGCGUUUUUCUGGAUUUUGUUGUUGUUAUUCUGUCUCUCACUGUUCAAAUAAACCUACCAUUAAAAUUAUAGACUGAUCAUUUCUUUGUCAGUGGGC
RNAcentral lists this long non-coding RNA (1356 nucleotides) under Salmo salar (Atlantic salmon). RNAcentral describes it as "lncRNA (ENSSSAG00000122280.1)". Lineage: Eukaryota; Metazoa; Chordata; Actinopteri; Salmoniformes; Salmonidae. The record is from RNAcentral.